CUCUUGCUUGGCAUGCAUUGGUGACUUGAACUGGGGGUUAACCCAAAAAGAUCAAGUGCGAGCUCAAGGCGGAUGAUGAGAACAGAUUCCGGGCUGGUUAACCUCAGAAAGCGGGAGUCCGUUGGUGCUAAUGAGGCCAAGGGAGCCCGGCUCCUUUCUGCCCCCAGGCAGGUGAGAAAGAAAGAACAGAGACGAAAGAGGGCCAGCUGUGUCUACUCCUCUUGGCCCGGAAGCCCAGCUCGACCCUGAGGCCACAAACUGCCCCCUACUGGAGAAAUCGCUGAAGGAUUUCUCCUCCGUCAAAUCGCUGUGUCAGAGCCAGUUGGGGGCUUUUAAAAGACACCCACGCUCAGGCCCCCACCAAGCCACCUACACUGAAAUAUCUGAGGCUAAGUCCCAAGCUAGAAUUUCCUUCCUUCUUUCUGGCCUUGGGAGAUUUUGCACCUCCUUCCAGGGAAGGAAGCCUGACUUCUGAAAUGAUUCUCACGAAAGAGAAGUGCUCCGUUCUGCAGUGAGCCUGACCAGGGAGGCCACACCACAGACUCCAGGAGGCUUCUGCUCUGCGUGGCUCUUCUGCUCUCGUUUCCUUAACGAUUGGGCCAGAGCAUCUCUGCUCUUGUGAAAUAUCAGGCAAUUAGAUCUCGAAGUCUUUCAAGUGGGCAGAUUCACCAGGCGUUGGACUGAAGUUUCUAUUUGUCCUGGCACUGGGAAUAGCAAAGGAACAGGGGGACUGAACUGGUUUGGAAAGAGGCACAGAGAGGUGAAGUCUCUUGCUGAUAUCUUCUAGACCGGCCUGGCUGCAGGGUCUGUUGCUCCCAACCAGAGGAAACAGAACCAUGAAAGAACAAGUCUCCAGGAAGCCAGUUGCCAUGUUAUGGGGAGGACACUCAGGCAGCCGCAUGGGGAGACUCAUGUGGGGAGGAACUGAGAUGUCUUGCCAACAGCCGUAUGAGGGAACCAUCUUGGAAAUGAAUCUUCCAGCCUCAAUCAAGUCUUCAGAUGACCAGAGCCUCAGCUGAUAACUUGGCUGCAGCCUCAUGAGAGGCCCUGAGCCAGCACCACUCAGCCAAGGUGUUCCUAGAUUCCUGCCUCUCAAAAACUGUGUGAGAUAAAUAGGUGCUUAUUGUUUAAAGUUGUUUAAGGUAGAUAACUAAAACAGGAGGCUCUACAUUUACUCUUUAUUUUUUUCUUGGAGACAGAGUCUU
Piliocolobus tephrosceles (Ugandan red Colobus) is the source of this 1205-nucleotide long non-coding RNA. RefSeq lists it as uncharacterized. NCBI's taxonomy places the organism in Eukaryota, Metazoa, Chordata, Mammalia, Primates, Cercopithecidae. The transcript has 3 exons. The record is from RefSeq and is a predicted model, not a curated record.